AACUGAUACUACCUGCGGGAACCUGCGGAAGGAUCAUUACCGAGUUUACAACUCCCAAACCCCUGUGAACAUACCACUUGUUGCCUCGGCGGAUCAGCCCGCUCCCGGUAAAACGGGACGGCCCGCCAGAGGACCCCUAAACUCUGUUUCUAUAUGUAACUUCUGAGUAAAACCAUAAAUAAAUCAAAACUUUCAACAAUGGAUCUCU
This 208-nucleotide unclassified non-coding RNA is filed under the name soil metagenome. RNAcentral describes it as "partial contains 5.8S ribosomal RNA, internal transcribed spacer 2, and large subunit ribosomal RNA". The record is from RNAcentral.